GAGAGGUGCUACAUGGCUGUCGUCAGCUCGUGUUAUGAAAUGUUGGGUUAAGUCUCGCAACGAGCGCAACCCCUAUCGUCUGUUGCCAGCAUUAAGUUGGGCACUCUGGCGAGACUGCCUGGGUUAACCAGGAGGAAGGUGGGGAUGACGUCAAGUCCUCAUGGCCCUUAUGUCUAGGGCUACACACGUAAUACAAUGGCGCGUACAAAGGGAAGCGAACUCGCAAGGGGGAGCAAAUCUCAAAAAGCGCGCCUCUGUUCGGAUUGAAGUCUGCAACUCGACUUCAUGAAGUUGGAAUCGCUAGUA
This 306-nucleotide ribosomal RNA is filed under the name uncultured Peredibacter sp. RNAcentral's name for it is "bacterial SSU rRNA". It matches the Rfam family "Bacterial small subunit ribosomal RNA", at positions 1033 to 1340 of the family's 1533-position model. The record is from RNAcentral. Lineage: Bacteria; Pseudomonadati; Bdellovibrionota; Bacteriovoracia; Bacteriovoracales; Bacteriovoracaceae.